AGAGUUUGAUCAUGGCUCAGGAUGAACGCUAGCUACAGGCUUAACACAUGCAAGUCGAGGGGCAGCAUGUUGGUUGCUUGCAACCAAUGAUGGCGACCGGCGCACGGGUGAGUAACGCGUAUCCAACCUACCCUUGUCCAUCGGAUAACCCGUCGAAAGGCGGCCUAACACGAUAUGCGGUUCACAGCAGGCAUCUAAGGUGAACGAAAUGUGAAGGAGAAGGAUGGGGAUGCGUCUGAUUAGCUUGGUUGGCGGGGUAACGGCCACCAAGGCGACGAUCAGGUAGGGGUUCUGAGAGGAAGGUCCCCCANAUUGGAACUGAGACACGGUCCAAACUCCGUACGGGAGCA
This 350-nucleotide ribosomal RNA is filed under the name uncultured bacterium. RNAcentral describes it as "bacterial SSU rRNA". It matches the Rfam family "Bacterial small subunit ribosomal RNA", at positions 8 to 349 of the family's 1533-position model. The record is from RNAcentral.